RNAcentral lists this microRNA precursor (112 nucleotides) under Morus notabilis. The record is from RNAcentral. Lineage: Eukaryota; Viridiplantae; Streptophyta; Magnoliopsida; Rosales; Moraceae.
AGAGUGCAAUAAAGCCAAGGAUGAAUUGCCGACGGUUUUCUUUGUAUACAAGCGUAUAUAUGCACGAAUGCAUUUCUGUCGGCAGUCCGUUCUUGGCUAUGUUGGGCUCUUU